Gossypium arboreum is the source of this 1012-nucleotide long non-coding RNA. RefSeq lists it as uncharacterized. NCBI's taxonomy places the organism in Eukaryota, Viridiplantae, Streptophyta, Magnoliopsida, Malvales, Malvaceae. The record is from RefSeq and is a predicted model, not a curated record. The transcript has 3 exons.
AAAAUCCCGCUCACUCUUACCCGCUCGUUACUCCUUCUUUUUCUCAUCUAUGUCGCUUGCCCUAAAUCUCCCAAAUAAAAUUUAGCUAUUUUACUUUUCUCGAUCUGGAAUAAAAGAAAAAAAGAAACUGAAAAAGGCACAAAGGGUUUUUGGAAGCAAAGCAGAGCGAAGAACUGUGUGAAGCCAGAGCUAUCGAGCAUGUUCGAGUCUUAGCACAUGAAAUUGAUGGUCGUCAAGAAAAGGCUACUGAACAAGAUGCUGUUGAAAUCUUGAUGUAUUUGCAUACGGCUUGCUUGAGGUGUUGAUCUUUGUGACUUCUAUCACCAUAUGGAAUAAAGGCAUCAUUAGCCAAAUAAUUCUUUCGUUCCCUAUAGCAGUUUUUACUGGGAAAAAUAUGUUUGCUGAAAGGAGUAAAAAAGGCAUUAGUGAUAAUAAGAUAUAUCAUUAUCACUUAAAUCUUGGAGGAAGUGUUUCUACUAGAAGGCUGACUAGGCUACCUUCAAUUCCUAAGAAUGAUGCAAAGUUCAGGUAUACGCCAUAAACAUUUCUCUGAUCUUAAGUUAUACAAAACAUUAUGAUCUUAUUUAUUUGUUUAUUUAUAAAAAAACUAAUAUUGCUAUGCUACCACCAGUCCUCUAGUGGUUACUAAUAGUAAUAAAAAAAGGGGAAAAAGAACAAAGCUAUUCCAUUUCGCUAUACUUGAGGUGUAUAAAUGUUGUUAAUUGAGAUGUUAAAGUGCUGCAAAUUGAAGUGUUUAAAUGCUGUAAAUUGAACUGUUAAAGUGCUGCAAAUUGAAGUGUUAGAGUGCUGUAAAUUGGAGUGUUUAAGUACUGCAAAUUGAAGUGUUUAGUUGCUGGAAAUUGAGAUGUUUAAAUGUUGUUAAUUGAAAUGUUAAAGUGCUGCAAAUUGAAGUGUUUUAAUGCUGUAAAUUGAAGUGUUAAAGUGCUGCAAAUUGAAGUGUUUAAAUGUUGUUAAUUGAAAUGUUAAAGUGCUGCAAAUUGAAGUGUUUAAA